Long non-coding RNA from Saccostrea echinata, 357 nucleotides. RefSeq lists it as uncharacterized. The transcript is spliced from 3 exons. Lineage: Eukaryota; Metazoa; Mollusca; Bivalvia; Ostreida; Ostreidae. The record is from RefSeq and is a predicted model, not a curated record.
AGAGAGAAGAAAAUUGACAUUAAAGGAGAACCAGUAACUAAAGAUGUAUGAUGAAUCAAGAUGUGAUCAUGUGGGUCCUGUUCUGCAGAUGCCAUGAGAUGAUCUGUCUGUCCAUCUGAUAUCACUUGUCCUGAGUAUAUUUUUUCUCCUCUUAGCCCAAUCUCACUCAAAUUUAACUCAUAGAGUGCCUGUGGAUGGAGGGUAAAAAGUGACCUUGGACCAAUUAUCAAGGUCAAAGAUCGCAGAUUGCAGAUGAUGUGAAGAAAAUACAAAGGAAGCUGAUGUUGAAAGAAGUAUAGAGUAUUUAAAGAAGUUUUUAUGAAUGGACUUAGAUGUGAAAGACUACUUCAUUGUGUA